Molecule: ribosomal RNA, 349 nt
Filed under: uncultured Lachnospiraceae bacterium
Lineage: Bacteria; Bacillati; Bacillota; Clostridia; Lachnospirales; Lachnospiraceae
Description: bacterial SSU rRNA
Rfam family: Bacterial small subunit ribosomal RNA
Source: RNAcentral
UGGGGAAUAUUGCACAAUGGGGGAAACCCGUACGAUGCAGCGACGCCGCGUGAGCGAUGAAGUAUUUCGGUAUGUAAAGCUCUAUCAGCAAGGAAGAUAAUGACGGUACUUGACUAAGAAGCUCCGGCUAAAUACGUGCCAGCAGCCGCGGUAAUACGUAUGGAGCAAGCGUUAUCCGGAUUUACUGGGUGUAAAGGGAGCGUAGACGGUCGGGCAAGUCUGAUGUGAAAGCCCGGGGCUCAACCCCGGAACUGCAUUGGAAACUGUUUGACUAGAGUGCAGGAGAGGUAAGCGGAAUUCCUAGUGUAGCGGUGAAAAUGCGUAGAUAUUAGGAGGAACACCAGUGGCG